UUCUGUUUUUCAACAAUAUACUUAUAUCGUAUUGAAUGAGAAGCGGAAUCGUAUGAUCAUUCAAAUUCGUAACUAUUUCUUGCCGAAUCAAAGGAGAAUUUCAAGCUUGAUUAAUAAUUUGAAUUAGGAUGAAUCGGUGGGUCGCGGGCUGAGUGUUAUUCGUCAGGCUUGCCAUUCUCCUUUGAUGGCGUGGAAUGGUCGCAGGCGGUGAUUGGAAUUCAACAUCGAAUCAAGCUAUUGUAUCCGGCGACUCACCAACUUUGGAAAUUAGGGCAAACCAGACAUCUCCUCUGUUUUGGUUAUUUAUUCAUUUAUAUAAUGUUACGACGUGGAAAUUUGCGGCCGCUAUCGAAACUGUGUACUAAGUAAAUCUCCAAUCAAAUUUAAUAUGUUACAAAUUAGGUACGAGAAUCUUUGAUUAGGGUUAGAGGCAGAUUUGUCAGAGUUGUGUGUAUGGUUUCUUGUUGGCACAUCAUAGCAGAACAAUGUUAUUGUUUGUGAGCUUUGGGAUUUGUUUACAAAAAUACAUCUUGAAUUUAUUGUA
Long non-coding RNA from Andrographis paniculata, 544 nucleotides. RefSeq lists it as uncharacterized. The record is from RefSeq and is a predicted model, not a curated record. Lineage: Eukaryota; Viridiplantae; Streptophyta; Magnoliopsida; Lamiales; Acanthaceae. The transcript has 2 exons.